UCCCUUUUUCUGGUCUUUUU
RNAcentral lists this non-coding RNA (20 nucleotides) under Arabidopsis thaliana (thale cress). Lineage: Eukaryota; Viridiplantae; Streptophyta; Magnoliopsida; Brassicales; Brassicaceae. The record is from RNAcentral.